AACGAACGCUGGCGGCAUGCCUAACACAUGCAAGUCGAACGAGACCUUCGGGUCUAGUGGCGCACGGGUGCGUAACGCGUGGGAACCUGCCCUUAGGUUCGGAAUAACUCCCCGAAAGGGGUGCUAAUACCGGAUAAUGUCUUCGGACCAAAGAUUUAUCGCCUUUGGAUGGGCCCGCGUUGGAUUAGCUAGUUGGUAGGGUAAAAGCCUACCAAGGCGACGAUCCAUAGCUGGUCUGAGAGGAUGAUCAGCCACACUGGGACUGAGACACGGCCCAGACUCCUACGGGAGGCAGCAGUGGGGAAUAUUGGACAAUGGGCGAAAGCCUGAUCCAGCAAUGCCGCGUGAGUGAUGAAGGCCUUAGGGUUGUAAAGCGCUUUUUCCCGGGAUGAUAAUGACAGUACCGGGAGAAUAAGCUACGGCUAACUCCGUG
Molecule: ribosomal RNA, 433 nt
Filed under: uncultured bacterium
Lineage: Bacteria
Description: partial 16S ribosomal RNA
Rfam family: Bacterial small subunit ribosomal RNA
Source: RNAcentral